UACGUAGGGGGCUAGCGUUGUCCGGAAUCAUUGGGCGUAAAGCGCGCGUAGGCGGCCCGGUAAGUCCGCUGUGAAAGUCAAAGGCUCAACCUUUGAAUGUCAGCGGAUACUGCCGGGCUAGAGUCCGGAAGAGGCGAGUGGAACUCCUGGUGUAGCGGUGGAAUGCGCAGAUAUCGGGAGGAACACCAAUGGCGAAGGCAGCUCACUGGGACGGCACUGACGCUGAGACGCGAAAGCGUGGGGAGCAAACAGG
Molecule: ribosomal RNA, 253 nt
Filed under: uncultured bacterium
Lineage: Bacteria
Description: partial 16S ribosomal RNA
Rfam family: Bacterial small subunit ribosomal RNA
Source: RNAcentral